Molecule: non-coding RNA, 74 nt
Organism: Aedes albopictus (Asian tiger mosquito)
Lineage: Eukaryota; Metazoa; Arthropoda; Insecta; Diptera; Culicidae
Source: Rfam
UGCUCUGUAGCUUAGUUGGUUAAAGCGCCGGACUAGCGAUAACGAAGUCGUGGGUUCGAAUCCCACCAAAACAA